RNAcentral lists this ribosomal RNA (465 nucleotides) under uncultured bacterium. RNAcentral describes it as "partial 16S ribosomal RNA". It matches the Rfam family "Bacterial small subunit ribosomal RNA", at positions 338 to 795 of the family's 1533-position model. The record is from RNAcentral.
CCUACGGGUGGCAGCAGUGGGGAAUAUUGCGCAAUGGGCGAAAGCCUGACGCAGCGACGCCGCGUGAGGGAUGAAGGUCUUCGGAUCGUAAACCUCUGUCAGCAGGGAAGAACGGUCACUGUGCUAAUCAGCAGUGAAUUGACUGUACCUGCAAAGGAAGCACCGGCUAACGUCGGGACAGCAGCCGCGUUAAUACGGAGGGGGCGAGCGUUAAUCGGAAUUACUGGGCGUAAAGCGCUCGUAGGCGGUAUGUCAAGUCAAGGGUGAAAGCCCCGCGCUCAACGGGGGAACUGCCUUUGAAACUGGGAAACUGGAGUGUGUGAGAGGAUAGUGGAAUUCCAGGUGUAGGAGUGAAAUGCGUAGAUAUCUGGAGGAACAUCAGUGGCGAAGGCGACUAUCUGGCACAUAACUGACGCUGAGGAGCGAAAGCGUGGGUAGCAAACAGGAUUAGAUACCCCAGUAGUC